CUUUACACAUGCAAGUCGAACGGUAACAGGGUGCUUGCACCGCUGACGAGUGGCGAACGGGUGAGUAAUGCGUCGGAACGUGCCGAGUAGUGGGGGAUAACGCAGCGAAAGUUGUGCUAAUACCGCAUACGUACUGAGGUAGAAAGUGGGGGACCUUCGGGCCUCACGCUAUUCGAGCGGCCGACGUCUGAUUAGCUAGUAGGUGAGGUAAAGGCUCACCUAGGCGACGAUCAGUAGCGGGUCUGAGAGGAUGAUCCGCCACACUGGGACUGAGACACGGCCCAGACUCCUACGGGAGGCAGCAGUGGGGAAUUUUGGACAAUGGGCGAAAGCCUGAUCCAGCCAUGCCGCGUGUCUGAAGAAGGCCUUCGGGUUGUAAAGGACUUUUGUCAGGGAGGAAAUCCCUAGCGUUAAUACCGCUGGGGGAUGACAGUACCUGAAGAAUAAGCACCGGCUAACUACGUGCCAGCA
Molecule: ribosomal RNA, 471 nt
Filed under: uncultured bacterium
Lineage: Bacteria
Description: bacterial SSU rRNA
Rfam family: Bacterial small subunit ribosomal RNA
Source: RNAcentral